Molecule: ribosomal RNA, 745 nt
Filed under: Flavobacterium hercynium
Lineage: Bacteria; Pseudomonadati; Bacteroidota; Flavobacteriia; Flavobacteriales; Flavobacteriaceae
Description: bacterial SSU rRNA
Rfam family: Bacterial small subunit ribosomal RNA
Source: RNAcentral
GCUUGACGGUACUGUAAGAAUAAGGAUCGGCUAACUCCGUGCCAGCAGCCGCGGUAAUACGGAGGAUCCAAGCGUUAUCCGGAAUCAUUGGGUUUAAAGGGUCCGUAGGCGGUUUAGUAAGUCAGUGGUGAAAGCCCAUCGCUCAACGGUGGAACGGCCAUUGAUACUGCUAAACUUGAAUUAUUAGGAAGUAACUAGAAUAUGUAGUGUAGCAGUGAAAUGCUUAGAGAUUACAUGGAAUACCAAUUGCGAAGGCAGGUUACAACUAAUUGAUUGACGCUGAUGGACGAAAGCGUGGGUAGCGAACAGGAUUAGAUACCCUGGUAGUCCACGCCGUAAACGAUGGAUACUAGCUGUUGGGGGCAACUUCAGUGGCUAAGCGAAAGUGAUAAGUAUCCCACCUGGGGAGUACGUUCGCAAGAAUGAAACUCAAAGGAAUUCACAGGGGCCCGCACAAGCGGUGGAGCAUGUGGUUUAAUUCGAUGAUACGCGAGGAACCUUACCAAGGCUUAAAUGUCAGUUUGACCGAUUUGGAAACAGAUUUUUCGCAAGACAAAUUACAAGGUGCUGCAUGGUUGUCGUCAGCUCGUGCCGUGAGGUGUCAGGUUAAGUCCUAUAACGAGCGCAACCCCUGUUGUUAGUUGCCAGCGAGUCAUGUCGGGAACUCUAACAAGACUGCCAGUGCAAACUGUGAGGAAGGUGGGGAUGACGUCAAAUCAUCACGGCCCUUACGCCUUGGGCUACA